Molecule: ribosomal RNA, 497 nt
Filed under: uncultured bacterium
Lineage: Bacteria
Description: partial 16S ribosomal RNA
Rfam family: Bacterial small subunit ribosomal RNA
Source: RNAcentral
GACGAACGCUGGCGGCGUGCCUAAUACAUGCCAGUAGAACGCUGAAGAGAGGAGCUUGCUCUUCUUGGAUGAGUUGCGAACGGGUGAGUAACGCGUAGGUAACCUGCCUUGUAGCAGGGGAUAACUAUUGGAAACGAUAGCUAACACCGCAUAACAAUGGAUGACACAUGUCAUUUAUUUGAAAGGGGCAAUUGCUCCACUACAAGAUGGACCUGCGUUGUAUUAGCUAGUAGGUGAGGUAAUGGCUCACCUAGGCGACGAUACAUAGCCGACCUGAGAGGGUGAUCGGCCACACUGGGACUGAGACACGGCCCAGACUCCUACGGGAGGCAGCAGUAGGGAAUCUUCGGCAAUGGGGGCAACCCUGACCGAGCAACGCCGCGUGAGUGAAGAAGGGUUUCGGAUCGUAAAGCUCUGUUGUAAGUCAAGAACGGGUGUGAGAGUGGAAAGUUCACACUGUGACGGUAGCUUACCAGAAAGGGACGGCUAACUACGUG